GAUGAACGCUGGCGGCGUGCCUAAUACAUGCAAGUCGAACGAAACUUCUUUAUCACCGAGUGCUUGCACUCACCGAUAAAGAGUUGAGUGGCGAACGGGUGAGUAACACGUGGGCAACCUGCCCAAAAGAGGGGGAUAACACUUGGAAACAGGUGCUAAUACCGCAUAACCAUAGUUACCGCAUGGUAACUAUGUAAAAGGUGGCUAUACUACCGCUUUUGGAUGGGCCCGCGGCGCAUUAGCUAGUUGGUAGGGUAAAGGCUUACCAAGGCAAUGAUGCGUAGCCGAAGUGAGAGGUUGAUAGGCCACAUUGGGACUGAGACAGGGCCCAAAGUCCUACGGGAGGCAGCAGUAGGGAAUCUGCCGCAAUGGGCGAAAGCCUGAUGGAGCAACGCCGCGUGGGUGAAGAAGGUCUUCGGAUCGUAAAACCCUGUUGUGAGAGAAGAAAGUGUGUGAGAGUAACUGUUCACGUUUCGACGGUAUCUAACCAGAAAGCCACGGCUAACUACGUG
RNAcentral lists this ribosomal RNA (512 nucleotides) under uncultured bacterium. RNAcentral describes it as "partial 16S ribosomal RNA". It matches the Rfam family "Bacterial small subunit ribosomal RNA", at positions 28 to 507 of the family's 1533-position model. The record is from RNAcentral.